GCUAGUGUGGCGCAGCUGGUAGCGCAAUUGAUUCGUAAUCAAUAGGCCGAGGGUUCAAGUCCCUUCACUAGCUCCA
Molecule: transfer RNA, 76 nt
Filed under: Clostridia bacterium
Lineage: Bacteria; Bacillati; Bacillota; Clostridia
Description: tRNA-Thr
Rfam family: tRNA
About the family: Transfer RNA (tRNA) molecules are approximately 80 nucleotides in length. Their secondary structure includes four short double-helical elements and three loops (D, anti-codon, and T loops).
Source: RNAcentral